Molecule: long non-coding RNA, 1129 nt
Filed under: Taeniopygia guttata (zebra finch)
Lineage: Eukaryota; Metazoa; Chordata; Aves; Passeriformes; Estrildidae
Description: lncRNA (ENSTGUG00000026055.1)
Source: RNAcentral
UCAGUUCUGUGUGUCCUGGGUUAGCCCACAAAGAGAUUCUGCAGUUAAUGGUGAGAGAAAAGGACAUGAUUUCUCUAUAGGUAAUGAGAAGGUUCAGAUUGUGCUUGUGGAACUCACAUAGAAAUUCAGUCAUAUGAAACCUAAGAAAUCACAGAAAAUUGUGUUACUCAGAUUAAUUUGGUGUUAGUGAUGAGUUUAAGAUUUAUUCAUAGCUAAAAUUAUAAUAACAGGACAAGUGAGUCUAAAUGGAAGAGUAGAAAUAGGUAAAAGGGAAGAGGUGACUGAUAAGGACCUAAAUUAUGACAAUUUUAAUGACUAGUCCAAAAAAUAUAACCGUUCAAAUGUUAUGAUCCACUGGAGGUACUGGCUGGGUAAAUGUCUGAAAAGACAGGCUUCAGGCUGUUUUUUGGGAGGUUGGAGGAAGGCAUAGUAAGUUUUGGGUCGUUGUACAGAGUAGAAAAGAUUUGUUAGGUUUGCCUGUAGUAGAAAGAAUGUCUGAUACUCCAAGGCAAUUUCUGCACAAGUGAUGGUGGUAGGAGCUAGGAGUGGACCUGGAGAGCUGCAUCUCUGCUGAGGUCCCCUGGCCUGCACACCGUGUGUGGCCUGUGUGCUUUGCCUGUGCUGCUGGGGAUAUCUCUUCCAGCUUUGUUCUGUCUGAAAGGAGUCUGGUCUGUGCAUAGGGGCUGCACAGUGAGUGGGGCAUUUUGGCUUCAGAGGCACACUGCUACUCCAAACUUGAACACUGGUGUAAUGGGAGGGAGCAGAGGGAGUACUCCAAAUGCACUGUUUCAUAUUACAGGUGCUGGCAGCAUGUGGAGUUGAGAGCAGUGAAAGUCCAAAGGACUAGGGCACCAGAGGAGGUCACCAGGAGCUGUCAUCCCUUAUAAGCCCUGCAGGAAAGAGAAAGGAGAAUGAUUCAUUGGUAGAUGCAAGCCUCUGUAGUUACAGAAGUACGGAUAGAGUUGACUACAUGGAUUUGCAACCAGCAGCUCAGCAGCUGCUUCAUGAACCAUCCUUCCAGGAGGGGAACAUCACAAAGAUGGGCGAGUUAGAUGCUGAGAAGUGGGAAUUGGUCCAUUCAUCCCAAGAGAAAUCCUCCCCUGUUAUUCCUUUAGCAAGGAGGAUAUGA